AGCUCCAAUAGCGUAUACUAAAGUUGUUGCAGUUAAAAAGCUCGUAGUUGAAUUUCUGGUUGUGAACGACGGUCCAUUCCUCAAGGAAUGCGUUACUAUUCAUUCAUGGCCAUCCUCGGGGAGAAUGUGUGUUACUUUCAGUAGUCGCGCACAGGAACCCCGUCAUUUACUGUGAGCAAAAUAGAGUGUUCAAAGCAGGCUUAUGCCGUUGAAUAUAUUAGCAUGGAAUAAUAAGAUAUGACUUUGGUCUAUUUUGUUGGUUUGCUUUCCAAAGUAAUGAUUAAUAGGGAUAGUUGGGGGUAUUCGUAUUCAAUUGUCAGAGGUGAAAUUCUUGGAUUUAUGGAAGACGAACUACUGCGAAAGCAUUUACCAAGGAUGUUUUCA
Molecule: ribosomal RNA, 384 nt
Filed under: uncultured eukaryote
Lineage: Eukaryota
Description: SSU rRNA
Rfam family: Eukaryotic small subunit ribosomal RNA
Source: RNAcentral